This is a long non-coding RNA of Xiphophorus couchianus (Monterrey platyfish), 342 nucleotides long. RefSeq lists it as uncharacterized. Lineage: Eukaryota; Metazoa; Chordata; Actinopteri; Cyprinodontiformes; Poeciliidae. The transcript is spliced from 3 exons. The record is from RefSeq and is a predicted model, not a curated record.
CUCCAAGCUGAGCGGUUCGAGAAUGAAGCCUUGGGGAACCACAAGUUCUGCAACAUGGUUGGAACCAAGUCAGUACCCCCCUCCAGAAAAUCAUAAAAUGAAUUGAAGCUGCAGCUGGUUUGGACCCUUCUGACCACUUGGUGGCGCCGCAGCUCCACAUCUCGUCAGAAAACCUCCUCUGCUUGUUUGGAAACAAAGGAAUCAGUGGAUCUCCAUGUCGAGGGUAGGACAUGAAAGAGGCGAGCAGACCCUGAACAACAAGGAAGGGAAGGCUGCAGACAGACGGGCGCUCUGACUGACACAGAUGUGCUGCGUCAAACAAGACAAACCGAUAAUAAAGAG